CGGUAAUUCCAGCUCCAAUAGCGUAUAUUAAAGUUGUUGCUGUUAAAAAGCUCGUAGUUGAACUUCUGACAGCGAGCAGGUUUGGCUUUGGCCAGCCUGUUCGUUGUCAUCCGUCUGCAAACCUUGUACGUCCUUCAGUGGUUCGGCAAGGGGAGUAGACAAUUUACUUUGAAAAAAUUAGAGUGUUCAAAGCAGGUAUUAGCCUGAAUACUUUAGCAUGGAAUAAUGGAAUACGACUCUUGUCUAUUUAUGUUGGUUAUUAGACUUGAGUAAUGAUUAAUAGGGACAGUUGAAGGCAUUAGUACUUAGUUGUCAGAGGUGAAAUUCAUGGAUUUAUUAAAGACUAACUAAUGCGAAAGCAUUUGCCAAGGAUGUUUUCAUUAAUCAAGAACGAAAGUUCGAGGAUAGACGGCGAUCAGACACCACUUUAUUUCGAACUAUAAACUAUACCGAUUUGAGAUAGCCAAUUUUAAUCGAAUAAUUGGCUG
This 488-nucleotide ribosomal RNA is filed under the name uncultured eukaryote. RNAcentral's name for it is "bacterial SSU rRNA". It matches the Rfam family "Eukaryotic small subunit ribosomal RNA", at positions 577 to 1083 of the family's 1831-position model. The record is from RNAcentral.